Molecule: microRNA precursor, 74 nt
Filed under: Myotis brandtii (Brandt's bat)
Lineage: Eukaryota; Metazoa; Chordata; Mammalia; Chiroptera; Vespertilionidae
Description: mir-9193 microRNA precursor family
Source: Rfam by way of RNAcentral
GAUGCACAAAAUUCGUCCCUCAGCCUGGAUUGCAAGAGGGCGCAGGCCAGGCUGAGGGACCCCAUUGGUGCACA